GAAAAGGUGACCGGUACCCUGCAGAAAGAAAGCGCCGGGCUAAACUACGGUGCCCAGCAGGCCGCGGGUAAUUACGUAGGGGCGCAAAGCGUUUAUCCGGGAAUUAUUUGGGCGUAAAAAGCUUCGUAGGCGGUUUUGUCGCGUCUGCUGUGAAAGACCGGGGGUUCAACUCCGGGUUCUGCAGUGGGUACGGGCAGACUAGAGUGAUGUAGGGGAGACUGGAAUUCCUGGUGUAGCGGUGAAAUGCGCAGAUAUCAGGAGGAACACCGAUGGCGAAGGCAGGUCUCUGGGCAUUAACUGACGCUGAGGAGCGAAAGCAUGGGGAGCGAACAGGAUUAGAUACCCUGGUAGUCCAUGCCGUAAACGUUGGGCACUAGGUGUGGGGGACAUUCCACGUUUUCCGCGCCGUAGCUAACGCAUUAAGUGCCCCGCCUGGGGAGUACGGCCGCAAGGCUAAAACUCAAAGGAAUUGACGGGGGCCCGCACAAGCGGCGGAGCAUGCGGAUUAAUUCGAUGCAACGCGAAGAACCUUACCAAGGCUUGACAUGAACCGGUAAUACCUGGAAACAGGUGCCCCGCUUGCGGUCGGUUUACAGGUGGUGCAUGGUUGUCGUCAGCUCGUGUCGUGAGAUGUUGGGUUAAGUCCCGCAACGAGCGCAACCCUCGUUCUAUGUUGCCAGCGCGUUAUGGCGGGGACUCAUAGGAGACUGCCGGGGUCAACUCGGAGGAAGGUGGGGACGACGUCAAAUCAUCAUGCCCCUUAUGUCUUGGGCUUCACGCAUGCUACAAUGGCCGGUACAAAGGGUUGCGAUACUGUGAGGUGGAGCUAAUCCCAAAAAGCCGGUCUCAGUUCGGAUUGGGGUCUGCAACUCGACCCCAUGAAGUCGGAGUCGCUAGUAAUCGCAGAUCAGCAACGCUGCGGUGAAUACGUUCCCGGGCCUUGUACACACCGCCCGUCAAGUCACGAAAGUUGGUAACACCCGAAGCCGGUGGCCUAACCC
This 1001-nucleotide ribosomal RNA is filed under the name Paenarthrobacter aurescens. RNAcentral describes it as "bacterial SSU rRNA". It matches the Rfam family "Bacterial small subunit ribosomal RNA", at positions 459 to 1441 of the family's 1533-position model. Lineage: Bacteria; Bacillati; Actinomycetota; Actinomycetes; Micrococcales; Micrococcaceae. The record is from RNAcentral.